Molecule: ribosomal RNA, 146 nt
Filed under: Coreopsis grandiflora
Lineage: Eukaryota; Viridiplantae; Streptophyta; Magnoliopsida; Asterales; Asteraceae
Also listed under: 4 other names
Description: 5.8S ribosomal RNA
Rfam family: 5.8S ribosomal RNA
About the family: 5.8S ribosomal RNA (5.8S rRNA) is a component of the large subunit of the eukaryotic ribosome.
Source: RNAcentral
UAAACGACUCUSGGCAACGGAUAUCUCGGCUCACGCAUCGAURAAGAACGUAGCAAAAUGCGAUACUUGGUGUGAAUUGCAGAAUCCCGUGAACCAUCGAGUUUUUGAACGCAAGUUGCGCCCGAAGCCUUCCGGCUAAGGGCACG